This 254-nucleotide ribosomal RNA is filed under the name uncultured prokaryote. RNAcentral describes it as "partial 16S ribosomal RNA". It matches the Rfam family "Bacterial small subunit ribosomal RNA", at positions 524 to 777 of the family's 1533-position model. The record is from RNAcentral.
UACGGGGGGAGCAAGCGUUGUUCGGAUUUACUGGGCGUAAAGGGCGCGUAGGCGGUCGGUCAAGUCACUUGUGAAAUCUCCGGGCUUAACCCGGAGCGGCCAAGUGAUACUGUUCGACUGGAGUGCAGAAGGGGCGACUGGAAUUCUCGGUGUAGCGGUGAAAUGCGUAGAUAUCGAGAGGAACACCUGUGGCGAAGGCGGGUCGCUGGGCUGACACUGACGCUGAGGCGCGAAAGCUAGGGGAGCGAACGGGA